Long non-coding RNA from Oncorhynchus tshawytscha (Chinook salmon), 304 nucleotides. Lineage: Eukaryota; Metazoa; Chordata; Actinopteri; Salmoniformes; Salmonidae. The record is from Ensembl.
GAACAUUUUCCUGGACGCUCUGACGCUAGACUCCCUUGGUAGCCUGGAGGUCCCACUUCCCAGCAGACUGGACUCUGACAAGAGGUUCCCCGAUAUGAACCAGGCUCUGAAUGAGAUCCCAGACAUAGAGGACCCAAUGUACCCGGAGGAAGAGGAGGAGGAGGAAGAGAUGGGCUUUGGCAGUCUGCUCAGGGCUAAGUCAGUCUGUUCUAUGAGUGACUUCCAGCGUCUGAUGGACAGCUCUCCUUUCCUGCCUGACAAGAGUCGUCAUGGUGACUGUGGCCAUGACGACGUGACUCCACCC